GUAAAACUAGGUUAAAUGUAGGUAUGAAUUUUCAUCUAAUUCCGAUAAAAGAUUUUUUGUAGAUUGUGAAAUUUUAUAAUCUUAUUUAUUUUGCAAACAUCUAGACAAUGUAAAAAACAAAUUACAUAUUAAUUAAUUAAUAUUGACCCGAAUGUCUUAUAAAAUAUAUUCAAACCCCUAUUGGCAUCUUCCCUAUUGGCUUUUCGAAGUGGGGAGGCAGGGUAGUAGUAGUAGGGGUAACGGGAAGGCUGAUAAGAACUGUCGUUAUUCUAAUAAGGGCCUGUAGCCAUGUGGCACGUAGAUUCUCUUUCUACAAACGCUAACGCUUCCUAAACUAAAACUAAUGUAUUGCAAUGACAGAUCCGGUCGAUAACUCACGUGACUUGUCGAUAACAAAUGUCAUUCCUAUAAGUACAUUUUUUAUUUUCGAAGUGUUUGCGAUUUUAGAAAGAGAAUCGAAGCGGCACAUGGCUAUACAUGUUAGGAGAAGAAGAAGAAAUACUUUAUUGCACACAAAAAUACAAUUAUAAAUUAAAACAAUAUAAAGAUAAAUUAACUUAGCAUGCAAAGGCGGCCUUAUUACUAAAAGUAAUCUCUACCAGGCAACCCCUGACGAGAGAACUUGCGAAGAAAGAGCGGGAAGGUGCAAUGCAUUAAAUGUAAUUAUAUAUAUAAAUAAUUAAAUAAAUGUAAUAUAAUAUAUACGUGAAUAGAAUAUUAAAAUUUACAUAUGCAUUACAUAACAUACAUACAUAAUUAUUCCUGACUGUUAUGGGUUUUUUUUAAAUUUUAAUUUGUCGUUUAUUUGUCUUUUUAGUACUAGACUUAACAACGCAUAACUUUUUAAAUUCCUAUUAACAUUUUAUUAUAGUGUAUACGUGUAUAAUACCUAUAAAAAUAAAUAAAUAAUUGGUUGAGUAGUUAUGCCGCGAAAAGGUAACCGAAAAAGAGACAGACAGAUUGACAGACUUACGUGCUUUUGCAUUUCUAAUAUUAGUACCUAUAGAUGGAUACUGUUUAUCUUUUAUAUAACUAAUCUUACAUAAAAAUUAUUUAUAAAAUUCAAAUUAAAUAUUAUUUUGCCUUAAUUUUGCUACGACAUUAUAUUGUACCUACAUUUAUAAAAUACAAUUGUUAGAUUUUUAAUUAUUUAAAUAAUUAUAAAUACAUAAGACAACAUAUAAAAACUCCUUCUUCCAGAUAAAUGUUUUAAUCUGUACUGUUUAUUAAUGAUAAUGGUUUUAUUCUGAGGUUGGUAGGGUAUUGUGAUACAUACUCUAUGUAAAAGAGGCGAACAUGCGAUUAUGUGGCGUGAAGUUUAUUUAAUUAAUGUAUUAUCCAUCUACCAAAAAGUGAGAGUACCUACGAACACGAUGUCAUUACCUACAUUAAAGUCGAUCUACAGAAAGAAAAUGUAACGGCAUUUAAAUGAAGUGUGAAUUUGGGAAACAGUGGUUUACAUUACGAGAAAUGCGAUAAAAAUCAUACGUGUGUACAACCAUUAAGUAUGUAUACCACUGACGGCUAUGGGACGCACGCCGCAUGGUCCCGGUAAAAGUAUUUAUGCGAUGUCGGUUGUCGAUGCUUACAAUAUCUAACAAGAAUGAAGAAACGUAAACGUAACACACUUAUACCAUGUUGACGAUAUUUAUGAGCAAAACAGUCAAACAGUCCAACAGCACUCAUAAGAGGAUAUUAUUUGAAAAACUGCGAGAGAACAGAGAAGAACGUGUAAAUUAAUAACAAAAUACAAAGAUGCAUGUGUGGUGUUAGCUGCAGAGUUAUAUGAGAUGGAAUCCUGUUGGUUUGACGGAUGAGAAAUACCAAUGAUGUCUAAAUAUAUUAAACUAGGUGUCUGGUGAGUUUUAUUAGUUUGAUUAAACAGCCUCAUAAAUUAUUCAGUUGUGACUAAUAUGAAAUAAAAUUACAAAGAAUAAAUAAUCACUAGGUGAAACUAAGUAUGGUUGAUAGGUUGUCAGUUUGUCUGGCUUAUUGUCAAAACAUUUUUGUUAGAUGACUAUAUCUAGGAAACCAAAAUCAUUUAAGUGAAAAGUACACACACACACACACACAUACACACUGCUCAAGAAAUUAACGUAUGAAGACAGACCACUCUAGGGUUGUUAGGAUGUAGGACACUGGCAUAAUGUAAUAUUGAGAAAUCUUAAUUAUAGAACUACAUUACAUCCGUUGCUGACAUGGGACUAAAAUGAAUUAACAAAAAUAUUGUUUUUUUUUGUGCCUGUAACUUCAAACUAUACAUUUGUUAUAUGUGAGUUUUUAUGACUGAAUAACAUAAAAAUUAAAAAUAUAUGAAGUUUAAUGGUUCAAGUAUUAUUUUAGGCCUUGAUGUAGGUACCUGAUAACAAGUUUUGAGACAGCUAUUACAAUAUUUUCAGAUAGGAUUUGCUUAGAUAUAUCAUUAUGUAGAUUACUGUAUGUACUUAAUAUAAAUUUUUUUAAAUCUUUUAAGAAAUUGGAUUGAUAGAUUUCUUGAAAAAUAAAUUUGUAGUUAUGUUUGAAAACCUAUUUAACUAUUCAAGCGUUGACAACAUGCCUUCAGCCUAUUUAGUAUAGAACAGUUAUUAACAAUCUGCAGCAACACAGUAAAUGAUUCUUAUCCAUGAAUAUUAUUAUAUUCGGCUUAUCUACAAGAGUACUAAGAGAUAUUAUGAUAUUCAUCUUAAUGAAAUCUUAUAAUUAAUUAAAUUGGAGAUUUUUUUUUAGGGUGAUAUUAAAAAGUUACUUGUGUGACAAUUGAGUAAUAAAUAAUUAAUUAUAAUAAUAUCAUUGAUCACAAAUUGUCUUAGAGCCCAGUCUGUAUGGACUUCAAGUAAAGAGACACAGAUUGCCAUAAAUAGGUUGUAAAAUAUUUGUCUAAGACAUAUUUUGACAGUUUUGUGGGUGGGUGACGUUGGGCUCUCUUUUCAUUAAUGGUCAUGUGCAGAUGUAUAGAUUCUACAUACAAGUAAAUUAACCAUACUAUUGCUGUUGUUUUAGAUUCAAUCAAUCAGUUUAUUAUUUGCAGAUACACUAGUGUAUUUAAUCCAUGUCUCAUUUGUUUAUUUCUAUAGUCAGAUUGAGUAGGUAUUUUAAACUAUGUAAACAAACAAAAACAGCUGACUCAGGUUUGCUCAACAUUUUAUCAUUAUUUACGAAUAUUAUCAUGAAAUAAAACUUCCUGUGGUAAACAAAUAUUUUUUUAAUUUUAUAUUCCUAUAUAAUAUAUCCUGUUAUUUAUCAAACAGAUAAUGCUUCACUUAUAUUAAGGGUUCCGUAGGCAAUAAAGAACUCUUAUAGUUUUGUUUCUUUAUUAUGUAGAAGCAAGCAUAAGGUUUCCUCGACAUAUUUAAACACAUUAAUCAAAACGGUUUUCUCGGAGGACGAUAAGGGUGAUUGAUUCGUACGUUUCUUUUUUGGUGACGGAAACAAUAGCAACGCGGAAUAACUGCUCCGGCUAGUACCAGGCUCCGGUUCACUAAUUUUCGUACUAAACUAAAUAAAAUUAAUUAAUUAAACUGAUAAAAAACCCGACUGCAUAAAUGAUAAAAAAACUGAAAAGAAAAAAAAAGCUCAGUCCAGAAGUGUAGAAAACAAUUAGAAAACAGUCGGGACCUAUUAUAUUGAAUAGAAUUUCGUCUACAUUUUUUAUUAGGUCCCGACUUUAGUUUGAUCAAUUUUUAUAUCAUUUAUGCCGGGUUUUUAUAUUUGUUUAAUUAAUUAAUUUAUUUCACACUUUUUAGUUACGAUAGAUGGUGAAUUUCGGAUUUAUUGGUUACGUUUGUUACAAAGUACGAUAAUGUAUACCUAAGUCCAACCGAAAUUAAGUAAAUAUUCAAAAAAUCUACGCAACCCUCGGUGGCCGAAUCCGACUCGCACUUGUCCGAUUUUUAUAAUCAAUAUAUUUCUUUUAGUCUAUUUUAGGUGUUUUAUAACUACACUUCAUAAACCUCGCACCUUAUAGUCGUCCGCCUCGCGUAUUAUGUAUAGACUUAAUUAAUAUUAGAAUUAAUAAAUAACGUUUUCCUAAUUGUAGUUUUUUUAACAUGGCCAUGAUAUACUAUUUUGAAAUUCUCACAAAAAUCCCUUGAAUUUGAUUCGCAUGUUGAAAUAUUCACAAAAAAAAAAACUUCACCCCGAUUCUAUAGCGUCUCACAGUCGUCUUGUUGGUUUUUUUUUUCUAAUUUCACCUAUCUAAGAACACUUGGGUUAUUAAAACAAAUCUAACGUUAUCUGAAUUACGUAAAUCCGUUCAACGGUUUGGAAGAUAUGAGGUAAUAAAGAAUAUUACAUACAUACAUACAAGAUACGCGCGAAAAACAUAACCCUUCUUGCAGUCGGGUAAAAACAGUAAACAAACAACAAAUAAACUAUAAUUAACAAUAACAACGAAACGAGAACAAAACGAAAUAACAAAAAUUACAAGGGAAGAAAAUACGCACGACAGACUGGAUUUAGUUAAAGAAUCAUUAACGAAUACUGAUAUAUAAGUAGGAGUAUUAGUCAUAGACAGCAAAUAAAGUAGUGUUCUGUGCUGUGAAGUGUGAACUGUCAAAUGUCAAAUCUUCUUUCACUUAUUAAUACAAAAUCAAAAAAAUUAUCAUAGUAUAUGGUAAUUCUGCAAUAAAUGAAAGGUUAAAUUCACAUUAAAAUAAAAGAAAUCAUCGUUUUAAUUACAACUUCUUUCUUCUUUUGAUAUGAAAAUACGACAUUUAUAAAAUAAUUAAAGUUAUAAUUUAAUUUUAUAAAUGCACAUUUAAUACCCAUAAAACUCAAUAUCUUUAUUUUUCAUAAUGGUUUGUGACUCAUGUCUGCUUGGGUUCUUUUUAUGUCGUUUGUAUUGUUUUUGUGCAAACUCUAUAUAUUUAACAUAGAGGAAUUAGAAAUGGAAAUGGAUCGCACCCAAAUGCAGCAACAAAAUUGUCUGUCGUUUUUUGAAGGGUACGAGGUAAACUCAGUCAUCGAUAAUAUUUAACAAAAAUAAAUAAUAAAAUAUUUAACAAGAAUAAUAUAAUCUGUACACAGAAUAUUAAAUUAAUGGAUCGAUGUUUUGCUGUUUGUUCGUUCGUUAGAAGAAUAGUAUCUAUUUUUCUUUUAGAUAUGCUUGUUUUUAUUACAAAUUUAUUAUUUAUUAUAAUUAUGUUUUUGAUGACCUCCGUGGCGCAGUGGUAUGCGCGGUGGAUUUACAAGAAGGAGGUCCUGGGUUGGAUUCCUGACUGGGCUGAUUGAGGUUUUCUUAAUUGGACCAGGUCUGGCUGGUGGAAGGCUUCGGCCGUGGCUAGUUACCACCCUACCGGCAAAGACGUCCCGCCGAGCGAUUUAGCGUUCCGGUACGAUGCCGUAACCGAAAGGGGUGUGGAUUUUCAUCCUCCUCCUUACAAGUUAGCCCGCUUCCAUCUAAGACUACAUCAUCACUUACCAUCAGGUGAGAUUGUAGUCAAGGGCUAACUUGUAAACAAUAAAAAAAAAAAUCUUAGAUUGCAUCAUCGCUUACCAUCAGGUGAAACUGAAAUCGAACGUCACGUCAUCUUUUAGUGAAUUAGAAGUUGUUGACCAUUUUUCAUGCCAUUGAACUACUUACUACACAAACCGGAAUGAUUAGGGAGUUUUUUCAGUCGACGAAAACGAUUACAACAAUGAAACAUCGAUACGAUAUAAGUAUACACGCGUUAGAUCGUUGAUUGAUUGACAGAGAGGUAACGUCUUGCGAGGCAGGUCCUUCUAUAAUUAGUCCAAGAUAAUUAAUUAAUUGUAUGUGAAUCCGGGCUCAAAAGGGCUAGAACCCAGAGCCGUAAAGCUUAUUAUUAAAAAUAAAAUGUAUGUAAAUCGAAACGAAAAGUGUCGCUUAAAAGAACCUUUUUGAGUAGUAUUAUUGUUGUGUAAAAAACCUAAAGUUGUGGACUAUAGCAUUUUAUUAGAUUGCAACAUUUUGUAUAAUUAUGAAAAUUAGUAAUUAUUAUGGGGUUGUGGUUAGAAUUAUAUAUUCGGAUGGUUACAAUGAUAUGUGCAUAAGGUUUUAACUAGGGUAUACUAGUACACUAAAGGUAAAAAAAAAAAUUAGAAAAUUCCUUGGCCAACAUAUUAAGUGGUAUAGGUUUUGAAUAUAGAUUUGUAUUGGGUCCUUAGGUAGUCAGUACAUUUGUGCAUCUACAAAGUGCACGCCACCGAGUUGUUGGUACCUGCAUGCAACUGAUGGGUGGUCUGCAUCAAGUAUGAAUCAAUAUAGAGACUUAAAUCAUUACAUCAGUAAAAUAAUUAAUGGAUAUAGCCAAAAAAAAAAAAAAAGAAAUUUAACAGAAUUAAAAAAAAAAGAAUAUACUAAAAUUAAUGAAUAGGUAAAACCUCUGAUAGCAAACUAGAGGUAUAUAACAAAGGGGGUGGUCUGGUCUAAGACAGGUUUAUGCUACUAUUAUUACAAAAAAGGGGGUAGUCUGAAGAUAAUUAUACAAUACAUAGUCAAAUAUCAUCUUUUCUUAUCUAGUGAUAACUACUAGGAUUGGAUUACAUACUAAAAUUAUUACAAUCAUAAAUCGCAAUAUUUUCAAGAAGUCUUUAUUAUCAUUAAAAAAAAAAAAGCAUUUAUUUAAGAGAAAGAGUCUUUUGUCUGAAUUAAAGUAAAUUGAUAGAUUAACACAUGUUUAACAUUUUAUUUCAUUUUAUGUACCGGGUCUAAGGUUCAUUCAAUUAUAGACUGAUUUUCUCUUGGAUGCUAGGUAUGCUAGUUAUGUUAAAUUAAAUUAUUUGUCAAACAAGUAUGAUAUUUAUCUGAACGAUUAAGUGACUGAGCUAUGUGAUACUGUGUGAAAAUAUUUGAUUACAGAUCCGAGAUGCAUGGAUAUUGAUUGAUGAAUAUGGGAUAUAUGAGAUUCUCAUGAUAAUCAUUGGGUUGAACACAGCCCUAUUCGACAGUUGACCCAAAUCACAAAGAUGAGAGAAGUUACACUAUGUAUUGAUAACACACGAUUUAAAUUUAGUAUUUUUAUUUAUGAUAUGAUGAUAUUAUAAUUAUGUAUUAUAUUGAGAGUUAUUAGUUUUGAUAUCAUAUAUACAUAUAUUUUAAAUAUUUGCUCACAUCCAUGAUGUUAUUCAUUAAUUAUGACUUACUGAUGACGAUUUGUGUUUUGGUAAAAUUUUAAUAUAAGGAUAGAUGUAUUACACAGGCCGACACGAUUUUCGUUGUCCAAGAUAUAAUUAUUUUUUUUCUACUGAUUUUGUAGUGCUGAUUACGAAAUCAGACCUAAUUUUAUCAUAUCACAUCAGAUUUUUAGUAAAAUUAAUAUAUUCGCUAGUUUUGAUUUUUCAGUGAAAUUUUCGAGUUUUGGCACUCUUUCUUUGAAUUAAGCGACCUCUCAUGAGAAAUUACUUCAGUUAUAACAACGACACACCUAUUUGUAACGCGUUUCGUGGAAAUAAGCUGUUAUAGUGCCUUUGUUAAAAAAAAAUAUAUAUAUAUUUUAGUUAAUGGUUUUUUUUGUUGUUGGAAAACGUCUGAUAAACAUAACGUCUUCUAUAAAGUGUCACAAUAGUCCAGAUAUAUUUUGUUACAUUUGUUGAAACUUUAUGAUUCUAAGCAAAAACUGAAAAAUUUGUGGAAAAUAUGUAUAAUAAAUAUGUAGCUUAUUUUGACUUCAAAAUACAAAUAAAAUCGUGGACUCUGCAGUUUGUACUAAUCGUGUUGAACAAUUAAGGCAGUGGACACUGGACAUACAGCAAAAGACAAUCUCUACCUUUUGGUACUACCUAUGAUAUAGUGAAAGCAAGACAAUCAUACAGAUAUUGUUAUUUUUGCUGUAUGUUAGAAGCUUUUAAAGUAAAAUUUGUUUUCCUUUUUGUAAAAAAAAUUGAUGUGAUAGAUUAAUUGUGCAGGUAUUUUUGUGUUCAAAAUACUAUAAAUUACUGAUAAUUUUUACUGAAAUCAAAACAACGUUCAAAAAGUAUUCAUUUGUCGGCCGGUGUUAUCGAUAAUAUUUUAGAUAGUAUUAUAGUAUAGUAGUGUUAUGACGACUAAUAUACCGUUAUUUGUUUUGUGAAUGAUUAUGGAUAUAUUUGUUGUAUAAUAAUUUCUCUAUUGAUUAUUACACAGCAAAAUAAAAUAAAUAAAUAAAUAUAAAAAGAUUCCAACGAAUUGAUAAACUCCUUUUUUUUGAAGUCGUUUAAAAAUGUAUGUAUAUGUAUUUAUAUCUGAUUUUAUAUUUUGAUUAUCUUCUAUCACAUGUCAUCUGGAAGUCUAACACGAUCAUGAAGUCCUGUAACUAUAUUAGUUCUGAACUUGAUGGUGAGGGGUUCGGUGCAGAUGCAACACAUCAUCUGGAAGUCUAACACGAUCACAAAGUCCUGUAACUUUACUAGUUCUUGACUUGGUGGUGAGGGGUUCGGUGCAGAUGUCACACAUCAUCUGGAAGUCUAACACGAUCACAAAGUCCUGUAACUUUACUAGUUCUUGACUUGGUGGUGAGGGGUUCGGUGCAGAUGUCACACAUCAUCUGGAAGUCUAACACGAUCACAAAGUCCUGUAACUUUACUAGUUCUUGACUUGGUGGUGAGGGGUUCGGUGCAGAUGUCACACAUCAUCUGGAAGUCUAACACGAUCACAAAGUCCUGUAAUUUUACUAGUUCUGGACUUGGUGGUGAGGGGUUCGGUGCAGAUGUCACACAUCAUCUGGAAGUCUAACACGAUCACAAAGUCCUGUAACUUUACUAGUUCUGGACUGGGUGGUGAGGGGUUCGGUGCAGAUGCCAUUAAUCGAUGAUGACGAAUUUGACAAAUAUAAAUAAUGUUUUGAAAUGAUGAAAAUAGAUAAGUUGAUUGACAAAAGCUUCACAUGAACAUUAUGUUUAUUUAUAAUAUGUAUCACUCUUAUUCUUAUUUAACAUUUUUAUGAUAAAAGUAUAUAGAAGAAAUCAAGAAUUUCAUUAUAGUUUCAUUGGAUUCUUUUAAAUAACUUAUGGGAUGCUGUGUGAUAAUUAAUUAUAAAAUUUUAUUGUUAACAUUGUUCUAUUUAUAGUUGAUAUUAUAGUAAUGUCAUAAUUUCAUGAUAUUCUUGUGUUGUUUGGGGACAAACUUUUAGUAAGGAUGGCCGAAUAUUAGAAGAUAAAGACAUUACAUUUGUAAAUAUUACAUAUCGUCUAUGUACUUAAUGCUUUAAAUUAAUCUACUACUCUGUCUAAGUUAAUUACAAUAUUUAAUAAGUCUCUGUCUAGAGUAAAGCUCCCUCUUGUCAUCUGGAAGCUCAGACAAAUAUUAGAAGAUAAAGACAUUACAUUUGUAAAUAUUACAUAUCGUCUAUGUACUUAAUGCUUUAAAUUAAUCUACUACUCUGUCUAAGUUAAUUACAAUAUUUAAUAAGUCUCUGUCUAGAGUAAAGCUCCCUCUUGUCAUCUGGAAGCUCAGACAAAUAUUAGAAGAUAAAGACAUUACAUUUGUAAAUAUUACAUAUCGUCUAUGUACUUAAUGCUUUAAAUUAAUCUACUACUCUGUCUAAGUUAAUUACAAUAUUUAAUAAGUCUCUGUCUAGAGUAAAGCUCCCUCUUGUCAUCUGGAAGCUCAGACAUACAUAAGACCUACCUCACUAGAUGUUGUUUUUCGUCAAAGUACAUGAUUUACUUGUAUGAUCUAAUGCGAUUAUAAGAACUGUCUCAGUAGAAUCGAGGUUUCAUAGUUAUAACUUUAUAUUAACAUAACUUUUAGUUUAGUUUAGGAAUGACAAAAUGACAGACAAUUUUGUCAUGAAUUUGGGUAAUUGGACUGAAUCUGGAAGUGAUUAAAGAUUGAAUUUAUUUCAAAUUUGUAAAAACAAGAAUUAACAUACCAGUUUAACUGAAUUUAAGUGUUUGGAUUUUUAUCAAUAGAAUCACUAUCAAAAUCUGUAUAGGUCUGUAUUCACAAUUUGUAAAUAUUGAAUGAGAAAUCUGUUAAACUAUAAUUAUAUAAUUCUUAAAGAAUAAUUAAAUGUAUUGUAGGGUGUUUCAACAUAUUGUUAAAUCAAGGUUUAAAAUUAGAAAAUAUCUGUAAUGACAAAAUUGAAUUUUACUACUUGUAAAUCAGUGAAUUUAGCAAGUAGUAAUAAUAAUAGAUUAAUUGGGACUCACUUUUGUUAUAAUUAGAAAUUAUUGGAGAAUUAAUGAUUUGUGGUAAUAAACAUAAAUUAAAAUUUUAAAUACUAUGAGACAUAGUUCAGUGAAUCUUUAUAAUAAUGUAAUGUUAGAAUUUAUUUGUGUUUACAAAGUUUGAGGACAAACUUGUAGUCAGUAUGGCCGAAUGUUAGAUUUUUAAUUAUUUAAAUAAUUAUAAAUACAUAAGACAACAUAUAAAAACUCCUUCUUCCAGAUAAAUGUUUUAAUCUGUACUGUUUAUUAAUGAUAAUGGUUUUAUUCUGAGGUUGGUAGGGUAUUGUGAUACAUACUCUAUGUAAAAGAGGCGAACAUGCGAUUAUGUGGCGUGAAGUUUAUUUAAUUAAUGUAUUAUCCAUCUACCAAAGUAACGAUUUGUUUAAGAAUGAGUAAUAAGUUAUUUGAAAUACAGUUUAUACAUUCCA
Molecule: long non-coding RNA, 10535 nt
Organism: Bicyclus anynana (squinting bush brown)
Lineage: Eukaryota; Metazoa; Arthropoda; Insecta; Lepidoptera; Nymphalidae
Exons: 2
Source: RefSeq, a predicted model, not a curated record